This is a long non-coding RNA of Columba livia (rock pigeon), 980 nucleotides long. RefSeq lists it as uncharacterized. Lineage: Eukaryota; Metazoa; Chordata; Aves; Columbiformes; Columbidae. The record is from RefSeq and is a predicted model, not a curated record. The transcript is spliced from 4 exons.
CUGGCUGCACCCAGCAGCACCUCACUGGGACAGAGCUGUUGCUCAGCGCACUGAGGUGCCAUUGAUUAUUAAGGUCUAUAAGCUUUGCAGAUAAAGCAGCCGAGGUUUCUACAACAUCAUCUGUCAUCUGUGCUACAGCCUCCAGGUAGCAAAAAGCUGGGAAUCCCACCAGAUGGAAUUUUUGACUGUCUGUCAUCUGCUGUGAAGAGCUGGCAGAGUAGCAGCAAAUUUCAGCUGGAGCUGGCUUGGCCAUCUGCACUAGACAUCCUCCAGGUUCAGAAUCCCUCCCAGUCCCAGCUCAGGCAUAUCCACCUUGGCCAGUGGUCCUCACCUGGAAACAGGAGUCACGUAGUUGCCUGGGAAGACGCCGGACAUUCCGCUCCUCAGAGACGUCCCCUUGAACCAGCCGUCCUGGCACUUCUCAAUGACCCGGUACAUCUCACCUUUGCGGAGCUCCAGCUCGUCAUUCUUCUGAGGCUUGUAGGCGUACAGGGCUAGGUAGCUGCAGGAGGAGGUCACACCAGAAGAAAACACACAGCUGAGGUCAACUACUGUCUGUCCCACCUUGACUCCAACCCCGCAGAGCAGAAAGCGAGCAGAAACACUGCUCAGAAAUGGUGGUUAAAAAAGGACAUCAUCACAGCACACCAAACACAGAGCAACAGAGACAAGGUCAACUGGACGCUAAGAAAAUACAGGAAUAACUAACCAGAUUAAAGUCAGGAGGCAGUGAAAGGAUAUUAGAACAAAUGGCGAAACACUUACAGAAAGCGCAUUUACACUACAAAGUGCAGCAGAAUGCUCUUUGGCUCAAGGAUAGAUGAGAAGAGGCUUGCUGCCCACCUUAGAGCAGUGAACUAGAGAAAUAAUGAAAACUAUAACCAUUGUGAUUGUAGGCUUGUAGCCAAUAAAAAUGAUAGAUCGCUUUUUACUUGUGCUCUUCAGGAAAUAAAACUGAGGAAUAAAUCCUGUUAGUUUUU